RNAcentral lists this ribosomal RNA (468 nucleotides) under uncultured bacterium. Its description in RNAcentral is "partial 16S ribosomal RNA". It matches the Rfam family "Bacterial small subunit ribosomal RNA", at positions 28 to 507 of the family's 1533-position model. The record is from RNAcentral.
GACGAACGCUGGCGGCGUGCUUAGCACAUGCAAGUCGAACGGAAAGGCCCUGCUUUUGUGGGGUGCUCGAGUGGCGAACGGGUGAGUAACGCGUGAGUAACCUGCCCUUGACUUUGGGAUAACUUCAGGAAACUGGGGCUAAUACCGGAUAGGAGCUCCUGCUGCAUGGUGGGGGUUGGAAAGUUUCGGCGGUUGGGGAUGGACUCGCGGCUUAUCAGCUUGUUGGUGGGGUAGUGGCUUACCAAGGCUUUGACGGGUAGCCGGCCUGAGAGGGUGACCGGCCACAUUGGGACUGAGAUACGGCCCAGACUCCUACGGGAGGCAGCAGUGGGGAAUAUUGCACAAUGGGCGGAAGCCUGAUGCAGCAACGCCGCGUGCGGGAUGACGGCCUUCGAGUUGUAAACCGCUUUCGCCUGUGACGAAGCGUGAGUGACGGUAAUGGGUAAAGAAGCACCGGCUAACUACGUG